Molecule: ribosomal RNA, 172 nt
Filed under: uncultured bacterium
Lineage: Bacteria
Description: partial 16S ribosomal RNA
Rfam family: Bacterial small subunit ribosomal RNA
Source: RNAcentral
AUGGGGCAUGGGCGAAAGUCUGACGCAGCCAUGCCGCGUGCAGGAUGAAGGCCCUAUGGGUUGUAAACUGCUUUUGUACGGGAAGAAACCCUUCUACGUGUAAGAAGCUGAAGGUACCGUAAGAAUAAGCACCGGCUAACUCCGUGCCAGCAGCCGCGGUAAUACGAUACGA